GUUAAGCGACUAAGCGUACACGGUGGAUGCCCUGGCAGUCAGAGGCGAUGAAGGACGUGCUAAUCUGCGAUAAGCGUCGGUAAGGUGAUAUGAACCGUUAUAACCGGCGAUUUCCGAAUGGGGAAACCCAGUGUGUUUCGACACACUAUCAUUAACUGAAUCCAUAGGUUAAUGAGGCGAACCGGGGGAACUGAAACAUCUAAGUACCCCGAGGAAAAGAAAUCAACCGAGAUUCCCCCAGUAGCGGCGAGCGAACGGGGAGCAGCCCAGAGCCUGAAUCAGUGUGUGUGUUAGUGGAAGCGUCUGGAAAGGCGCGCGAUACAGGGUGACAGCCCCGUACACAAAAAUGCACAUGCUGUGAGCUCGAUGAGUAGGGCGGGACACGUGGUAUCCUGUCUGAAUAUGGGGGGACCAUCCUCCAAGGCUAAAUACUCCUGACUGACCGAUAGUGAACCAGUACCGUGAGGGAAAGGCGAAAAGAACCCCGGCGAGGGGAGUGAAAAAGAACCUGAAACCGUGUACGUACAAGCAGUGGGAGCACGCUUAGGCGUGUGACUGCGUACCUUUUGUAUAAUGGGUCAGCGACUUAUAUUCUGUAGCAAGGUUAACCGAAUAGGGGAGCCGAAGGGAAACCGAGUCUUAACUGGGCGUUAAGUUGCAGGGUAUAGACCCGAAACCCGGUGAUCUAGCCAUGGGCAGGUUGAAGGUUGGGUAACACUAACUGGAGGACCGAACCGACUAAUGUUGAAAAAUUAGCGGAUGACUUGUGGCUGGGGGUGAAAGGCCAAUCAAACCGGGAGAUAGCUGGUUCUCCCCGAAAGCUAUUUAGGUAGCGCCUCGUGAAUUCAUCUCCGGGGGUAGAGCACUGUUUCGGCAAGGGGGUCAUCCCGACUUACCAACCCGAUGCAAACUGCGAAUACCGGAGAAUGUUAUCACGGGAGACACACGGCGGGUGCUAACGUCCGUCGUGAAGAGGGAAACAACCCAGACCGCCAGCUAAGGUCCCAAAGUCAUGGUUAAGUGGGAAACGAUGUGGGAAGGCCCAGACAGCCAGGAUGUUGGCUUAGAAGCAGCCAUCAUUUAAAGAAAGCGUAAUAGCUCACUGGUCGAGUCGGCCUGCGCGGAAGAUGUAACGGGGCUAAACCAUGCACCGAAGCUGCGGCAGCGACGCUGAUGCGUUGUUGGGUAGGGGAGCGUUCUGUAAGCCUGCGAAGGUGUGCUGUGAGG
RNAcentral lists this ribosomal RNA (1227 nucleotides) under Escherichia coli. Its description in RNAcentral is "partial 23S ribosomal RNA". It matches the Rfam family "Bacterial large subunit ribosomal RNA", at positions 1 to 1268 of the family's 2925-position model. Lineage: Bacteria; Pseudomonadati; Pseudomonadota; Gammaproteobacteria; Enterobacterales; Enterobacteriaceae. The record is from RNAcentral.